RNAcentral lists this microRNA precursor (208 nucleotides) under Oryza sativa Indica Group (long-grained rice). RNAcentral's name for it is "MIR812 microRNA precursor family". It matches the Rfam family "MIR812 microRNA precursor family". Lineage: Eukaryota; Viridiplantae; Streptophyta; Magnoliopsida; Poales; Poaceae. The record is from Rfam by way of RNAcentral.
AAUAAGUGCAGCCAUAGAUAUCCGUGUUCAACGUUUGACCGUCCGUCUUAUUUGAAAAAUUUGUGAAAAAUUUAAAAAUAUUUAGUCACACAUAAAGUAUUAUUCAUGUUUUAUCAUCUAAUAGCAAUAAAAAUACUGAUCAUAAAAAAUUUUCAAAUAAAACGAACGGUCAAACGUUAAACGUAAAUAGUGCAAAACUGUAAUUACG